RNAcentral lists this unclassified non-coding RNA (1308 nucleotides) under Bombus terrestris (buff-tailed bumblebee). RNAcentral's name for it is "misc RNA ENSBTSG00005031600.1". The record is from RNAcentral. Lineage: Eukaryota; Metazoa; Arthropoda; Insecta; Hymenoptera; Apidae.
AGGAACGGAAAGCAAGCUCGUUUGCUCCAAGUUUUCCUUUUUCGCGUUCACGAAGGAAUAAUUCGCACAAUCGGAUGAAGCGGUUCGCCCCUUGCAAAGGAACGGAGAGAAAAACCAGGGAAUCUUUGCUUCUCUUCGCUUCUCCUUCUGGAUUUACGUGUCUACCGGUACGUGCUGUGGGAGCUUCACUUUUAAAAAAGGAAAUGAACGCACCCAUCUCUGAAUCACUCCCGGUGAAGUUUCAUUUUAUGUAUCGUCUUUGAAACCGCGCAAUUUUCCCAACUAUACAUCCGAGGCUGUGUUUCAACCGUUACGUAGAAGUGCAUUUCAACCCUGCGUCAAAACGUAUAACAUCUUUGAAGUACGUGUUUCGCCAAGCUUCGCUGCCCGUAUCGUCGUUCUUAUAACGACCUAUGCCCUCUACUGCUCCCACGUCGAGACAACUCUCACACUUCCAUUCCCAUCAAGAAAUUCAGACCGGCCUGAACUAGCAAGAACAUCGAGACAUCGGUUAAACACACCAAACACCUAUGAAUGCCGACUAACACCAGUUUAUUUACAUGUGGGCGAUUUUAACGAUUUCCAACCUAUUGGUUCUCUUACAUCGAAAACGGUCCGCCUCUUUGCGAUCCGCUUAGAGGAUCUCAUUGCGAACCCUAUCGAUCGACGCCACCCGGUGGUGGUUUCUUACGUUUCAGCAAGGAUUCUACAAAACAUUUUCUCCGACGCUCUUACUAGAAAGAUUGCAACUUACAAACCAUCGACGAUCGAAGGAGAAAGGGUAAACACAAGACGGUGAUACCAACGGAUGGUUUCAUCGGGCUCUCUGAGAGGCCAACCUCGGUUCGCGUCAUUUUCUUGGCAAUCUGUUGAAGCGAAUCAUAACGCGCAUGCCUCCUUAGCCUCGACCUACGACGAGAACCAAAGAUGUAGGCAAAGACCAACACGAACACGAAGAUAAAGACGAAAGCGACUCGGAGGAUGAAAAAACGCGAGCACGGUUGAUGCUUUGAAGUCAGCGCUUCCGUGAUCGUCUAAGAAACCAGUAUCUAUCUAUCUUGUACUUUCUCUUAGCCAGGCACCGUGUCACGAUACGGUCUUUUAUGUUGGAGGAACGAAGGACGUAAUGCUGAUGAACUGGAUAGGGGAACCGAAUAUCUCGUUUAUUUUCACCAUUCCUUCGCACGGAUCUCUAAUCCAGCUUUUUCAAAGAUACAAGCGCGUACACGAUUCGUAUCCAGAUAUUAUACAACGUAUUUUCCUGUAUUAUUUCUCCGAAUGAAUUUAUGUUGCGCCUAAUGAGGAAAA